Molecule: ribosomal RNA, 253 nt
Filed under: uncultured bacterium
Lineage: Bacteria
Description: partial 16S ribosomal RNA
Rfam family: Bacterial small subunit ribosomal RNA
Source: RNAcentral
UAAGGCCGAUGGCGACCGGCGCACGGGUGAGUAACACGUAUCCAACCUGCCGAUAACUCGGGGAUAGCCUUUCGAAAGAAAGAUUAAUACCCGAUGGCAUAAUAGAACCGCAUGGUUUGAUUAUUAAAGAAUUUCGGUUAUCGAUGGGGAUGCGUUCCAUUAGGCAGUUGGUGGGGUAACGGCCCACCAAACCUUCGAUGGAUAGGGGUUCUGAGAGGAAGGUCCCCCACAUUGGAACUGAGACACGGUCCAA